GACGAACGCUGGCGGCGUGCUUAACACAUGCAAGUCGAACGGAAAGGCCCUGCUUUUGUGGGGUGCUCGAGUGGCGAACGGGUGAGUAACACGUGAGUAACCUGCCCUUGACUUUGGGAUAACUUCAGGAAACUGGGGCUAAUACCGGAUAGGAGCUCCUGCUGCAUGGUGGGGGUUGGAAAGUUUCGGCGGUUGGGGAUGGACUCGCGGCUUAUCAGCUUGUUGGUGGGGUAGUGGCUUACCAAGGCUUUGACGGGUAGCCGGCCUGAGAGGGUGACCGGCCACAUUGGGACUGAGAUACGGCCCAGACUCCUACGGGAGACAGCAGUGGGGAAUAUUGCACAAUGGGCGGAAGCCUGAUGCAGCAACGCCGCGUGCGGGAUGACGGCCUUCGGGUUAUAAACCGCUUUCGCCUGUGACGAAGCGUGAGUGACGGUAAUGGGUAAAGAAGCACCGGCUAACUACGUG
This 468-nucleotide ribosomal RNA is filed under the name uncultured bacterium. RNAcentral describes it as "partial 16S ribosomal RNA". It matches the Rfam family "Bacterial small subunit ribosomal RNA", at positions 28 to 507 of the family's 1533-position model. The record is from RNAcentral.